GUGUAGGGUGCCAGAUACUGUUUCAUCCCAAUAUCAGCCUCUUCACAGAACUCUACUAUUUGGUUGUUCAGGUUCAUUGCAUGUGCAAUGCUGCCGUGACCUGAGAGAGACGGUGCUGAAGAAAGGAAUCCCACUAGGAUCUUGCCAAAGACUUCCUUAGCAAAUCUGCGGAUUGAGCUCCUCGGUAUUAGAAGAUUCAACCAAGGGUGUGGAACUUCCCAGAGGCCUUGUGCCCUCAGCUUCAACUCAGAGGUGUGGACCCUGUCCAAGAACUCCAGGCUCACCUGUUCCAUGAUAUCAGCGUCGUCACUAUUGAAGUUCUUGGUUAGCUCGAGGCAGUAUAGUACUCUUCCAUCCGACUUAAAAUGGCUUGCUUGGACUGGGUCUUGUGGCUUGAAGGACGCCCUCCAGUUGUUGAGGAUGCCUGUCCUGUUUAUGAUGACAAAACCUUCAAUGUAGUCAAAGGAGUUCUCUGCCAUGAUCAACAUCUCCUGGUCCUCGGUGAAGGUUUCAAAAUCCGAGCUCAAGUGCAAUCCUUGCUCUGAUGAUGAUCCCGAACUGACCAAGACCGCCAAGAGCACCAUAGAAGAGAUCAGAGUUAUCCUCGGUGCUCGCCACAGGGCUACCUUCCAGAACACGGCCUGGCCUUCAAGCUGGGGCCAACCACUACACCAACAAUGGUGUGGAUCGUGGAUGGAUGGCGCCACCAUUGAUUCGAAGUGUUGGCAAAUGACAACCUUUAAGCGUUUGACCUUGACGGCGCCCGUCCGUUGCAAUGCACCGUUGUGUCAAUGCGGUCCACACAAUUCAUCGUCAACAGUCACACGUAUGUAUAUGCUAGCUGGAAAGCCAAAUGCGUACUGUGUUUUGAGCCUACGUGGAAUAUAGACAGAUAUAUGCAUGGGAUUUGGCUACUGUUCCCCCCCUUUUUUUUCCAUUUCCUUUUGUCUUGGUCUACUUUUCAGACAUUUAUUCGAUCAGAUGGAAUGGAAGUUGACAUAAUUUCAUUGAUUUGACUGUGCUCAUCCCUCCAUGGAGAUUUUCUCCAUUUUAUUACCUAAAAAGAUACAGUAUAUCAGUAUUACUUUAGUUGAUGGUCAGUUUCUGACCAGUUUAAGAAAAGAUGAUAAUAAUGAUACGGUGCUUGCGAGGUACUCUUCGGACUGCAUGAUGCAAUGGUACCACACAAGGGGCCUCCAUUUGCCGCCCAGCACAGUAGUUAUGGACGAGUCAACCGAUUGAGAUGGUACCAAUGAUAGACGCCAUUGUGCACAGGUGUUGUUAUUUGUUUGUGUUCUUGCAUGCACUGCUGACUGCAUGGCCAAGCAACUGAUGUGUGAGCAAGACAAACACUGCCAGCGCGUUCUGUUCUGAGGGAGAUGCUCGUGCAUGCAUGCCGGCAUGGGAGACCGGACCUGAUCGAGGAAGCAGGGAGGCGGCCGGAGAGCGAUCGCCGGUGCGGCCCGGCCUUGAGAUCGCGCGGAAGUGGACUCCGGGGACCCAUCCCCCACGUGGCCUUCUUGACAUAUUCGCCGGUGGCUUUCGGCCUGCGGGACCCAGUGGCGGACGUGUCAGGCCCUGGCAUGCAUGGUGCACAAAACCCACAGCCUGUGGGGCCAUGGCCCACCCUGCUGUUUGGUUCUGGGAUCUUGUAUUUUUCUCAUCUGCAUGAGGAUGGCAGUUGGCAGGUAUUGUUGAGAACAAAGCAAAGCUCGGGAAACCAUUCCCAAGUUUUUAGAAAUGGCAAGUGGGUGGUUAUUCAUCAGAAACAACCUCGAUCAUCAGACGAUAGCAAUUCUGCAGUGACAUGGCUAGCUUCACCUUGACCACAGUUGGGCUUUAGAAAAAAAAAAAUAUAUAUGAUUACAACUAGUGAACUUGACUUGUAUAGAUAUUUAUAGAUAGUAUAUGCUGACCUAUCUAUGUUGGCAUUAUUUUUCAGAUGCGUGCUGUGUCUGGUCUGGAAAACAGAUGUGCAUCACAAGCUGGUCCAAAGCACCACGUACGUGCUUUCUUUCUUUCUUUCUUUGUCAUCUCAAUUGUGUGCCAACGUGAAUAUAUGUACAUCAGUCAUCGUGUCGAGCUACCCAUGGGCGGCAACCUUCUUUAGUUUCCAACUCCUUUUUGACCGGUUUUCGUCGGAUCAAUAGUGCCAGAUGCAUGCGUGUAAGAGAUGGAGUGUGAUGGCAGAGAGCGACUGAAUUGAACGUUCACUGAACCAAUAACCAAUCGAUCUAGCUAGUGCGUUGGUCUAUAUGAUCAAACUAUGAAAACAGCGUGACAAGUAUGAAAAACUA
Molecule: long non-coding RNA, 2297 nt
Organism: Sorghum bicolor (sorghum)
Lineage: Eukaryota; Viridiplantae; Streptophyta; Magnoliopsida; Poales; Poaceae
Exons: 6
Source: RefSeq, a predicted model, not a curated record